This 231-nucleotide long non-coding RNA is filed under the name Elaeis guineensis (African oil palm). Its description in RNAcentral is "long non-coding RNA (EGUI_LNC004124)". The record is from RNAcentral. Lineage: Eukaryota; Viridiplantae; Streptophyta; Magnoliopsida; Arecales; Arecaceae.
UAGGUGACUUCUAAUGCAAUUCGAGGAGGAGAGGAGGAUAACCAAGCACCAACCUUGAACAGGAACAUUAAGGACCUAGUGCGCCUAAAUAUUCUUACGAUAUCUAAUUCCACUCAAUCAAAAAUUAUAAAAGUGUAUUCUCUUUGAUCUUGAACUUUGGCAUAAUCUCAUCCACUAAGCUCAUGGUUGCUACCAUAUGGGCAUCGGAGCAGAAGAGGUCGAUAUGGGUGG